This 444-nucleotide ribosomal RNA is filed under the name uncultured bacterium. RNAcentral's name for it is "bacterial SSU rRNA". It matches the Rfam family "Bacterial small subunit ribosomal RNA", at positions 359 to 793 of the family's 1533-position model. The record is from RNAcentral.
AAGUAUUGCACAAUGGGCGCAAGCCUGAUGCAGCCAUGCCGCGUGUAUGAAGAAGGCCUUCGGGUUGUAAAGUACUUUCAGCAGUGAGGAAGGUGGGUAUGGUUAAUAGCAUACUCAUUUGACGUUAGCUGCAGAAGAAGCACCGGCUAACUCCGUGCCAGCAGCCGCGGUAAUACGGAGGGUGCGAGCGUUAAUCGGAAUUACUGGGCGUAAAGCGCAUGCAGGUGGUUUGUUAAGUCAGAUGUGAAAGCCCGGGGCUCAACCUCGGAAUUGCAUUUGAAAACUGGCAAACUAGAGUACUGUAGAGGGGGUAGGAAUUUCAGGUGUAGCGGUGAAAUGCGUAGAGAUCUGAAGGAAUACCGGUGGCGAAGGCGGCCCCCUGGACAGAUACUGACACUCAGAUGCGAAAGCGUGGGGAGCAAACAGGAUUAGAUACCCUGGUAG